This 450-nucleotide ribosomal RNA is filed under the name uncultured bacterium. RNAcentral describes it as "partial 16S ribosomal RNA". It matches the Rfam family "Bacterial small subunit ribosomal RNA", at positions 354 to 796 of the family's 1533-position model. The record is from RNAcentral.
GUGGGGAAUUUUGGACAAUGGGCGCAAGCCUGAUCCAGCAAUGCCGCGUGCAGGAAGAAGGCCUUCGGGUUGUAAACUGCUUUUGUACGGAACGAAACGGUCCGGGUUAAUACCCUGGGCUAAUGACGGUACCGUAAGAAUAAGCACCGGCUAACUACGUGCCAGCAGCCGCGGUAAUACGUAGGGUGCAAGCGGUAAUCGGAAUUACUGGGCGUAAAGCGUGCGCAGGCGGUUUUGUAAGACAGGCGUGAAAUCCCCGGGCUCAACCUGGGAAUUGCGCUUGUGACUGCAAGGCUGGAGUGCGGCAGAGGGGGAUGGAAUUCCGCGUGUAGCAGUGAAAUGCGUAGAUAUGCGGAGGAACACCGAUGGCGAAGGCAAUCCCCUGGGCCUGCACUGACGCUCAUGCACGAAAGCGUGGGGAGCAAACAGGAUUAGAUACCCGUGUAGUCC